AACGAACGCUGGCGGCACGUUUUAAGCAUGCAAGUCGAAUGGCAGCAGGGGCAACUCUGUGAGAAUGGCGAACGGGUGAGUAACACGUAGGUGAUCUGCCUUGAGGAUGGGGAUAGCCUGUGGAAACACAGGGUAAUACCGAAUAAGCUGACGGGACUUCGGUUUCGUUAGUAAAGGUGCUACGGCACCGCCUCGCGCGGAGCCUGCCGCUGAUUAGCUAGUUGGUGGGGUAAAGGCUUACCAAGGCGACGAUCAGUAGCCGGCCUGAGAGGGUGUACGGCCACACUGGGACUGAGACACGGCCCAGACUCCUACGGGAGGCAGCAGCUAAGAAUCUUCCGCAAUGGGCGAAAGCCUGACGGAGCGAUGCCGCGUGAUCGAUGAAGGUCGAGAGAUUGUAAAGAUCUUUUCUACAUGAGGAAUAAGUCUGGGAGGGAAUGCCUGGAUGAUGACGUUAGUGUAGGAAUAAGCCCCGGCUAAUUACGUGCCAGCCGCCGCAGUAA
Molecule: ribosomal RNA, 503 nt
Filed under: uncultured bacterium
Lineage: Bacteria
Description: partial 16S ribosomal RNA
Rfam family: Bacterial small subunit ribosomal RNA
Source: RNAcentral